AUGUGGUUCGUGUUGUCCAGGAAUUUGGCCUGAAAGUGGCCAAAUGGCCAUGGUCAAAAAUUUCGAGAAAUCAAGAUUUUUCAUCCCAAAUUUACUUCUCAUAUUACCAAUUGGUAUUAUGGUAGAACCUUAACUUUCUUCAUGGUAAAUACGGUUAGCAAAUUUGUUAGUAUUUGGUUAGACUUGUUAGACUUUCUAUUGUAAAAACAGAGUGUGUAAUUUGAAUGUAGUUGGCUAAUAGGCUCUUGCCUAUCACCUGUUCGAUCCUAUGCGUCAAUGAAAGUUAGUAUUAAAACAAGUGAUCUUGGAUGCCAAGUGUUCGAGAUCAACUAUUUAAUGGAUUGCUCAAGUCAGAGAUUUAAGAAAGGUUCCUGCCACUCCAAUGGAGGAGACUGCUGUUCUUGAAAUUAACAGGUCGCGACUAGGUCCAAAGUUGUUGUAGUCAUAGUCCAUCAAUGGCUUCCCAUCCUCAUCAAGGUAUGGAUUGUCUUCAUAUCACACCUUACUCAUUUGGGUAGCUACUGCCAUGUUGUUGGGUGAAAUUGGAAGAGAUUAGAGAGACAUUGAGCUUCGGUGCCUUUGUCGGCUUCUUGGGUAUAUUUCUUCCUUGGUGUUGUUCGCAUAUCAGCUUUCUGAAUUCUAUUUUUUGUGACUUUGAUCAGUGCUUUAUUCUCUGGUGUGGAGGAAAGUUCAGAACUUUAUGCAGUCCAAGUGUUUGACGAAAUGCUCAGCUCAAGUUUGUUUGGUUUUUUUUUUUUUUUUUUUUUUUUUUUUUGUGUUGGUUAUGUUUCCUCACUUUCUCUGAAUUCUUUGAAGAAUUGGAAUGAUUUCUUGCUGCAAUUGUUUAUGUGACUUGUGAAUCAUCUUUUCUAGGUUUCAAAUUGUUUCUUCUGAUAUUGGAGUUCGAUUUUGUGGUGAAUUUUGGUAUUGAAUCAUUCUUUUCA
Pyrus x bretschneideri (Chinese white pear) is the source of this 944-nucleotide long non-coding RNA. RefSeq lists it as uncharacterized. NCBI's taxonomy places the organism in Eukaryota, Viridiplantae, Streptophyta, Magnoliopsida, Rosales, Rosaceae. The transcript has 2 exons. The record is from RefSeq and is a predicted model, not a curated record.